GUUAACCACAGUAGUGUAAUGGGUGCAGUCCAAAAUAUUCAUGCUCAUAAACUUCACCGUGUCAUACCCAGUAAAACAACAAGGCGGAGAACUGUUGGUAAGCAAAUGGAAGACUCUGAAAGCAUUGCAGGAGCCGUAUAGCUCGUCACAGGAGUGGUCAGAGAAGUUGAAGCAGAGGUUCUUGUAGUGGUUAAGAACUGGAGAGUCAAUAGAGCAAUUGAGGAGAGCAAAGACGGUGUCUGGAGUUGGAGGGAUUAUGAAAGAUUGUAUUUCAGUCAUGAUAAAGUCAUGGUGAGGCUGAAGAAUGGAGCACGUAGACAUGGCAGGAUCGUAAACCACCAUAGUUUUCUUAUCGUAGUCAAUGUGCUGGACUUUGUAGCUACCAGAAGGGGUUAUGAAGAACAAGUCAUUGCUGCAGUUAAACAUGCCGCGAAACUGUGGCGCCCCACACCCGUCAUCGACGCCGAAGGGGUAGUGUAUCUCAAUGCUGCCACAGGAGGUUCUGCAGGAAGUGAGAGCGAGGGCAGGCAGUAAUUGAAG
RNAcentral lists this unclassified non-coding RNA (540 nucleotides) under Hevea brasiliensis (rubber tree). Lineage: Eukaryota; Viridiplantae; Streptophyta; Magnoliopsida; Malpighiales; Euphorbiaceae. The record is from RNAcentral.